CCUCGGGAGGGGGCUGCAGGGGGCGGAGCCGUCCCGAGGGCGGCUGGCCUCCCCGGGGCGCCGCGCCGCGCGCUCGGGUUCCCACACCGCCCUCCUCCCGAGCCCUCGUCGUGUGGCUUCGGUCGCUACCGAGCCGCGCCUCCUCCGCUUCCUCUUCCUCCUCCUCCUGGCUGCCCUCGAGAGGCGCCGCCGCUUCCUGCGGUGCUGAAGGGCUGGGGUACGGGCCUGGGCCUACAGCGCGGCGGCGCAGAGAGCCGGCUGGUCGUUGACUUGAGGGGUUGGGGGCCGCGACGGCGCUCCAGCCAGGGCGCCUCGGUUGACUGGCAGUUCUGCUUCACAUGGCCACAGGCACAGCUGGAAGUUCCAGAAUGGCUUCCCUCACACGGCAGGCAGUUGGUGCAGGCUAGAGGCUGCCUUAGAAUGGUCGUGGGUCAGGGGCCUUGGCUCUUCUCCACUCGGACCUCUCCAUAAAGGCCUUUCACACGACUGCUUGAAUUGCCUCACAAACUGGAGGAAGUGCCAGUGUCGGCGGCAAAACUCAUCUCCCCAAGGAUGCCCAUCUGUGAGCACAUGGAAGAGUUUCCUGUCUGUUCCCAGACAUCCAACCUGGUCUGUGGCACCGAUGGUGUUACGUAUAACAAUGAAUGUCAGAUCUGUUUGAUCCGGCUGUAAGUCCACCCCACUCCUUCCCCUCAGCUUGCUUGGGUGGGCCCCACUUCCAGUACAUUCAAGUGUGAAAGGAGCAAGACUUGACCUGCCCCUUCCUUCACACACCUUGGACUGAGAAGAGUCCUCCGACAUUGGCCCGAACAGAAUGAGCACAAGUAUAUUUCAAAGAAAGCACAUGGUUCUAAGUACAAAGCCACAACUAGUAGGGGGUUGGGGAGGGUGCAGAAACCCUGGGUUCUUUCCCUCGUUCUGCGCUUGACCGACUAGGUGACUUCAUUUGUUCAUUUAUUCCUCCAGCCAACAAUUAUUUAUUGAACAUCUACUAUAUGCUAGGCACUGGGCAUACAACAGGGCAUAAGCUAGACAGCAACCCUGGCCUUCUGGGGGCAUAUGGUUUAAGGAGAAAGCCAAGCUAAUGGUCCACCAACUGUGUAGCAUAGAAUGCUCAAGGCUCAGAUGGGGGCACCCAGGGUUCUGUGAGUGCAGGGCAAGGACAAGGGCAGGGAAGACUUUCCAGCUCAGCUCUGAAAGAUAAGUUGAAAUUAGCUUGGAAAAAAAAAGGAAGAAGGAAAGGUAAUUCCAAGUAGUGAAAUGAGUUUGGAAAGGUCUAAAAGGGAAAGAAAUGUUUGUAUUUGAGAAAAUAUAAGAAAUUGGAUAUGCUGGAGUAUAAAGUUUAAAGACUGAGUGGGGAGAGGCAAGAAAUGAGUCUUGAGAGGUGAGAAGGGCCAGAACGUGACUUUGGUAUGUCUGAUCACCUAUUCGAUCUCCUUUCUUCAUUAAUAAAACCCUUGGGCUGGGCCAGAACUAGGUGAGAUCAUGGAAGAGAAGACAGUCUUCAGAAGCUACAGCACUCUGGACAGAGAGGCAGGAAAGCGACAGGACACUUUCCUAACUUA
Molecule: RNA transcript, 1565 nt
Organism: Mirounga angustirostris (Northern elephant seal)
Lineage: Eukaryota; Metazoa; Chordata; Mammalia; Carnivora; Phocidae
Gene: SPINK4
Gene name: serine peptidase inhibitor Kazal type 4
Exons: 4
Source: RefSeq, a predicted model, not a curated record